AUUGAACGCUGGCGGCAGGCCUAACACAUGCAAGUCGAACGGUAGCACAGAGGAGCUUGCUCCUUGGGUGACGAGUGGCGGACGGGUGAGUAAUGUCUGGGAAACUGCCCGAUGGAGGGGGAUAACUACUGGAAACGGUAGCUAAUACCGCAUAACGUCGCAAGGCCAAAGAGGGGGACCUUCGGGCCUCUUGCCAUCGGAUGUGCCCAGAUGGGAUUAGCCAGUAGGUGGGGUAACGGCUCACCUAGGCGACGAUCCCUAGCUGGUCUGGGAGGAUGACCAGCCACACUGGAACUGAGACACGGUCCGGACUCCUACGGGAGGCAGCAGUGGGGAAUAUUGCACAAUGGGCGCAAGCCUGAUGCAGCCAUGCCGCGUGUAUGAAGAAGGCCUUCGGGUUGUAAAGUACUUUCAGCGAGGAGGAAGGCAUUAAGGUUAAUAACCUUAGUGAUUGACGUUACUCGCAGAAGAAGCACCGGCUAACUCCGUGCCAGCCGCCGCAGUAA
This 506-nucleotide ribosomal RNA is filed under the name uncultured bacterium. RNAcentral describes it as "partial 16S ribosomal RNA". It matches the Rfam family "Bacterial small subunit ribosomal RNA", at positions 30 to 523 of the family's 1533-position model. The record is from RNAcentral.